UAAUAUAACUCAAUUAUUAAAUAUAUUAAAAUAGACUAAACAUACCGAUGGUAUAAAUCCAAAUCCAGAUUAUUUAAUUAAUGAUCUAGAUCGAUUAAUCCAUUUAUAGCAAAUCAUUUGCACGCUGGGUUGACGGAUCAGUAUAUAAAAAUAGAUUCUCAAUGAAAUUAGAUGGGCAAUGAAUGGAAGCCAGGAAACCCCAUGCAUAUGCAAGGCAAAGUCGGGGUGCAGGGAUGC
RNAcentral lists this long non-coding RNA (237 nucleotides) under Elaeis guineensis (African oil palm). RNAcentral's name for it is "long non-coding RNA (EGUI_LNC028925)". The record is from RNAcentral. Lineage: Eukaryota; Viridiplantae; Streptophyta; Magnoliopsida; Arecales; Arecaceae.